RNAcentral lists this ribosomal RNA (1499 nucleotides) under Enterobacter asburiae. RNAcentral's name for it is "bacterial SSU rRNA". It matches the Rfam family "Bacterial small subunit ribosomal RNA". The record is from RNAcentral. Lineage: Bacteria; Pseudomonadati; Pseudomonadota; Gammaproteobacteria; Enterobacterales; Enterobacteriaceae.
CCAGAGUUUGAUCAUGGCUCAGAUUGAACGCUGGCGGCAGGCCUAACACAUGCAAGUCGAGCGGUAGCACAGAGAGCUUGCUCUCGGGUGACGAGCGGCGGACGGGUGAGUAAUGUCUGGGAAACUGCCUGAUGGAGGGGGAUAACUACUGGAAACGGUAGCUAAUACCGCAUAACGUCGCAAGACCAAAGAGGGGGACCUUCGGGCCUCUUGCCAUCAGAUGUGCCCAGAUGGGAUUAGCUAGUAGGUGGGGUAACGGCUCACCUAGGCGACGAUCCCUAGCUGGUCUGAGAGGAUGACCAGCCACACUGGAACUGAGACACGGUCCAGACUCCUACGGGAGGCAGCAGUGGGGAAUAUUGCACAAUGGGCGCAAGCCUGAUGCAGCCAUGCCGCGUGUAUGAAGAAGGCCUUCGGGUUGUAAAGUACUUUCAGCGGGGAGGAAGGUGUUGAGGUUAAUAACCUCAGCAAUUGACGUUACCCGCAGAAGAAGCACCGGCUAACUCCGUGCCAGCAGCCGCGGUAAUACGGAGGGUGCAAGCGUUAAUCGGAAUUACUGGGCGUAAAGCGCACGCAGGCGGUCUGUCAAGUCGGAUGUGAAAUCCCCGGGCUCAACCUGGGAACUGCAUUCGAAACUGGCAGGCUAGAGUCUUGUAGAGGGGGGUAGAAUUCCAGGUGUAGCGGUGAAAUGCGUAGAGAUCUGGAGGAAUACCGGUGGCGAAGGCGGCCCCCUGGACAAAGACUGACGCUCAGGUGCGAAAGCGUGGGGAGCAAACAGGAUUAGAUACCCUGGUAGUCCACGCCGUAAACGAUGUCGACUUGGAGGUUGUGCCCUUGAGGCGUGGCUUCCGGAGCUAACGCGUUAAGUCGACCGCCUGGGGAGUACGGCCGCAAGGUUAAAACUCAAAUGAAUUGACGGGGGCCCGCACAAGCGGUGGAGCAUGUGGUUUAAUUCGAUGCAACGCGAAGAACCUUACCUACUCUUGACAUCCAGAGAACUUUCCAGAGAUGGAUUGGUGCCUUCGGGAACUCUGAGACAGGUGCUGCAUGGCUGUCGUCAGCUCGUGUUGUGAAAUGUUGGGUUAAGUCCCGCAACGAGCGCAACCCUUAUCCUUUGUUGCCAGCGGUCCGGCCGGGAACUCAAAGGAGACUGCCAGUGAUAAACUGGAGGAAGGUGGGGAUGACGUCAAGUCAUCAUGGCCCUUACGAGUAGGGCUACACACGUGCUACAAUGGCGCAUACAAAGAGAAGCGACCUCGCGAGAGCAAGCGGACCUCAUAAAGUGCGUCGUAGUCCGGAUUGGAGUCUGCAACUCGACUCCAUGAAGUCGGAAUCGCUAGUAAUCGUAGAUCAGAAUGCUACGGUGAAUACGUUCCCGGGCCUUGUACACACCGCCCGUCACACCAUGGGAGUGGGUUGCAAAAGAAGUAGGUAGCUUAACCUUCGGGAGGGCGCUUACCACUUUGUGAUUCAUGACUGGGGUGAAGUCGUAACAAGGU